Molecule: long non-coding RNA, 267 nt
Organism: Thunnus maccoyii (southern bluefin tuna)
Lineage: Eukaryota; Metazoa; Chordata; Actinopteri; Scombriformes; Scombridae
Exons: 3
Source: RefSeq, a predicted model, not a curated record
CUCCCUGACUGUCACAGGCAGAAGGGAAGGCUGGAGAGAGGGAGGAGAAGAAGACAUAAAUGGGGUAAAUGGAAGAUGUGGACCCUGAGCCUGCCUGCUUUAAAUUUUAUGUGAGGAGACUGAAAUGUGAAAAAAAGAGUUGACUGUACAGUUACACAGUGCGAAGCCCAGAGAAAGGAGAGACAGAUCCACCUGACACAGUCCAGCUCACCCAUGGGUCCAGAGGUAUCUGCUCUCUCCUUUCAUCACCAGGAGGCUUCGUCCUGG